CAAAACACAUAUUCAGAACAAGUAGUCAUCGUUCAUUUCCUGACAGAGACUUUUUCAUUCGCUGAGAGAAAAAGCUGGAAACCGUUGACGAACACAUCUGUCUAGUCAGCUUCUGAAUUUAGUAAGAAGCUGCGGCAUUCUCCGUUAUCAGAAAAGAAUCUCUAUUACUAUUAGAGACUCUAUGAGGUCACCAUUGCGAAAUCGUGACAAAUUGAGGUGGAACCGCGAAUCUUCGUCCUCUUG
Molecule: non-coding RNA, 243 nt
Filed under: Enterococcus termitis
Lineage: Bacteria; Bacillati; Bacillota; Bacilli; Lactobacillales; Enterococcaceae
Description: T-box sequence
Rfam family: T-box leader
About the family: Uncharged tRNA acts as the effector for transcription antitermination of genes in the T-box leader family. T-boxes are found upstream of many aminoacyl-tRNA synthetase genes and some amino acid biosynthetic genes usually in Gram-positive bacteria.
Source: RNAcentral